Molecule: ribosomal RNA, 809 nt
Filed under: Cercospora coniogrammes
Lineage: Eukaryota; Fungi; Ascomycota; Dothideomycetes; Mycosphaerellales; Mycosphaerellaceae
Description: eukaryotic LSU rRNA
Rfam family: Eukaryotic large subunit ribosomal RNA
Source: RNAcentral
UAGUAACGGCGAGUGAAGCGGCAACAGCUCAAAUUUGAAAUCUGGCGCAAGCCCGAGUUGUAAUUUGUAGAGGAUGCUUCUGGGUAGCGACCGAUCUAAGUUCCUUGGAACAGGACGUCAUAGAGGGUGAGAAUCCCGUAUGUGACCGGCCCGCACCCUUUACGUAGCUCCUUCGACGAGUCGAGUUGUUUGGGAAUGCAGCUCUAAAUGGGAGGUAAAUUUCUUCUAAAGCUAAAUACCGGCCAGAGACCGAUAGCGCACAAGUAGAGUGAUCGAAAGAUGAAAAGUACUUUGGAAAGAGAGUUAAAAAGCACGUGAAAUUGUUGAAAGGGAAGCGCCUGCAACCAGACUUCGUGGCAGUGUUCCGCCGGUCUUCUGACCGGUUCAUUCUCUGUCGCGAGGCCAUCAUCGUCUGGGCCCGCCGGAUAAGACCUGAGGAAUGUGGCUCCCCCUCGGGGGAGUGUUAUAGCCUCUGGUGAUGCGGCGAGGCUCGGGCGAGGUCCGCGCUUCGGCAAGGAUGAUGGCGUAAUGGUUGUCGGCGGCCCGUCUUGAAACACGGACCAAGGAGUCUAACAUCUAUGCGAGUGUUCGGGUGUCAAACCCCUACGCGUAAUGAAAGUGAACGGAGGUGGGAACCGCAAGGUGCACCAUCGACCGAUCCUGAUGUCCUCGGAUGGAUUUGAGUAAGAGCAUAGCUGUUGGGACCCGAAAGAUGGUGAACUAUGCCUGAAUAGGGUGAAGCCAGAGGAAACUCUGGUGGAGGCUCGCAGCGGUUCUGACGUGCAAAUCGAUCGUCAAAUUUGGGUAUA